RNAcentral lists this ribosomal RNA (324 nucleotides) under uncultured bacterium. Its description in RNAcentral is "bacterial SSU rRNA". It matches the Rfam family "Bacterial small subunit ribosomal RNA", at positions 30 to 353 of the family's 1533-position model. The record is from RNAcentral.
AUUGAACGCUGGCGGCAUGCUUUACACAUGCAAGUCGAACGGCAGCACGGGGGCAACCCUGGUGGCGAGUGGCGAACGGGUGAGUAAUAUAUCGGAACGUACCCGGAAAUGGGGGAUAACGUAGCGAAAGUUACGCUAAUACCGCAUAUGCCCUAAGGGGGAAAGCGGGGGACUCGCAAGAACCUCGCGUUUUCGGAGCGGCCGAUAUCGGAUUAGCUAGUAGGUGAGGUAAAGGCUCACCUAGGCGACGAUCCGUAGCUAGGUCUGAGAGGACGACCAGCCACACUGGAACUGAGACACGGUCCAGACUCUACGGAGGCAGCA